UACGUAGGGUGCAAGCGUUAAUCGGAAUUACUGGGCGUAAAGCGUGCGCAGGCGGUUUUGUAAGUCUGAUGUGAAAUCCCCGGGCUCAACCUGGGAAUUGCAUUGGAGACUGCAAGGCUAGAAUCUGGCAGAGGGGGGUAGAAUUCCACGUGUAGCAGUGAAAUGCGUAGAGAUGUGGAGGAACACCGAUGGCGAAGGCAGCCCCCUGGGUCAAGAUUGACACUCAUGCACGAAAGCGUGGGGAGCAAACAGG
Molecule: ribosomal RNA, 253 nt
Filed under: uncultured bacterium
Lineage: Bacteria
Description: partial 16S ribosomal RNA
Rfam family: Bacterial small subunit ribosomal RNA
Source: RNAcentral